GGCUUCUUGGUCUAGGGGUAUGAUUCUUGCUUCGGGAGUGGAGGUCCCGGGUUCAACUCCCGGAUGAGCCC
This 71-nucleotide transfer RNA is filed under the name Danio rerio (zebrafish). It matches the Rfam family "tRNA". Rfam says of the family: Transfer RNA (tRNA) molecules are approximately 80 nucleotides in length. Their secondary structure includes four short double-helical elements and three loops (D, anti-codon, and T loops). The record is from Rfam by way of RNAcentral. Lineage: Eukaryota; Metazoa; Chordata; Actinopteri; Cypriniformes; Danionidae.